UACGUAGGGGGCAAGCGUUGUCCGGAAUUAUUGGGCGUAAAGCGCGCGUAGGCGGUUUCUUAAGUCUGAUGUGAAAUCUUGCGGCUCAACCGCAAGCGGUCAUUGGAAACUGGGGAACUUGAGUACAGAAGAGGAGAGCGGAAUUCCACGUGUAGCGGUGAAAUGCGUAGAGAUGUGGAGGAACACCAGUGGCGAAGGCGGCUCUCUGGUCUGUAACUGACGCUGAGGUGCGAAAGCGUGGGGAGCGAAC
Molecule: ribosomal RNA, 250 nt
Filed under: uncultured Bacilli bacterium
Lineage: Bacteria; Bacillati; Bacillota; Bacilli
Description: partial 16S ribosomal RNA
Rfam family: Bacterial small subunit ribosomal RNA
Source: RNAcentral